UGUGCGUGAUGCUGAGGCGGGUCCAUGGGGCCAUGUGUUUUUGCGUGAAUGGGCCUUUGGUGAAGCGCGGGCUGCGUGAGGAUGCGCUGGGCUUGGCGUGCUGGUCAUGUGCACGAGCAGGCUGGUUUUGAAGCGCGGGCAUGGGCUGUCCAAUUGCGGGCCAAAGUGCUAAGUUACUUAAUCUUCAAAAUAUUUUCCUCAUUUAGCCCGUCUUGAAUUCAACUUGACGGCUUUGCACUCUUUUGCUCCAAAUAAGACAGUUUUAGGGGGAUUUUCUCCAAAUUGUCCUUUUAUACAAUUUUCUGCAAAAUAAUAUUAAAAGCAAUAAAUUAAGCAGAAAUCAUGUAAAUAAUCAUUAACAAUAUCAAUAUAAAAUGGACUAAAUUAUGCUCUAUCA
This 397-nucleotide long non-coding RNA is filed under the name Manihot esculenta (cassava). RNAcentral describes it as "long non-coding RNA (MESC_LNC011217)". The record is from RNAcentral. Lineage: Eukaryota; Viridiplantae; Streptophyta; Magnoliopsida; Malpighiales; Euphorbiaceae.